Molecule: ribosomal RNA, 465 nt
Filed under: Vreelandella stevensii
Lineage: Bacteria; Pseudomonadati; Pseudomonadota; Gammaproteobacteria; Oceanospirillales; Halomonadaceae
Description: partial 16S ribosomal RNA
Rfam family: Bacterial small subunit ribosomal RNA
Source: RNAcentral
CCUACGGGGGGCUGCAGUGGGGAAUAUUGGACAAUGGGCGAAAGCCUGAUCCAGCCAUGCCGCGUGUGUGAAGAAGGCCUUCGGGUUGUAAAGCACUUUCAGUGGGGAAGAAAGCCUUGGGGCUAAUACCCUCGAGGAAGGACAUCACCCACAGAAGAAGCACCGGCUAACUCCGUGCCAGCAGCCGCGGUAAUACGGAGGGUGCGAGCGUUAAUCGGAAUUACUGGGCGUAAAGCGCGCGUAGGCGGUCUGAUAAGCCGGUUGUGAAAGCCCCGGGCUCAACCUGGGAACGGCAUCCGGAACUGUCAGGCUAGAGUGCAGGAGAGGAAGGUAGAAUUCACGGUGUAGCGGUGAAAUGCGUAGAGAUCGGGAGGAAUACCAGUGGCGAAGGCGGCCUUCUGGACUGACACUGACGCUGAGGUGCGAAAGCGUGGGUAGCAAACAGGAUUAGAUACCCGAGUAGUC